RNAcentral lists this ribosomal RNA (119 nucleotides) under Triticum aestivum (bread wheat). The record is from RNAcentral. Lineage: Eukaryota; Viridiplantae; Streptophyta; Magnoliopsida; Poales; Poaceae.
GGAUGCGAUCAUACCAGCACUAAAGCACCGGAUCCCAUCAGAACUCCGAAGUUAAGCGUGCUUGGGCGAGAGUAGUACUAGGAUGGGUGACCUCCUGGGAAGUCCUCCUAUUGCAUUCC